RNAcentral lists this small nucleolar RNA (266 nucleotides) under Tuber melanosporum Mel28. Its description in RNAcentral is "small nucleolar RNA snR191". It matches the Rfam family "Small nucleolar RNA snR191". Lineage: Eukaryota; Fungi; Ascomycota; Pezizomycetes; Pezizales; Tuberaceae. The record is from Rfam by way of RNAcentral.
GCCCCAUCGUUCAAGUCAGGGCGCCUUUAUGUCGAUCCCCCAUUGUGGAGAUUGGCUUUCCUCGAUUAAAGGUGCGCGUUACAACCUUGGGAGAUCAAGCCCUUUCCCGUCCUCAUCCUGCCAACGUUUUGUUGGCGGGUUGUUUCGGUUUCUCCCGUUUUGGGUAGUCACUUGGGAUCGGUGUAGGUUUCGUAUUGAGUUGAGAAUCAAAUUUCUCUUAUGGAGAAAGUUUCGUUUUGAUUCUCUUAGUUAUGAUUCACACAUUU